RNAcentral lists this ribosomal RNA (301 nucleotides) under uncultured bacterium. RNAcentral's name for it is "partial 16S ribosomal RNA". It matches the Rfam family "Bacterial small subunit ribosomal RNA", at positions 509 to 808 of the family's 1533-position model. The record is from RNAcentral.
CAGCAGCCGCGGGAAAACGGAGGGUGCAAGCGUUAAUCGGAAUUACUGGGCGUAAGCGCACGCAGGCGGUCUGACAAGUCAGAUGUGAAAUCCCUGGGCUUAACCUGGGAACUGCAUUUGAAACUGUCAGGCUGGAGUCUUGUAGAGGGGGGUGGAAUUCCAGGUGUAGCGGUGAAAUGCGUAGAGAUCUGGAGGAAUACCGGUGGCGAAGGCGGCCCCCUGGACAAAGACUGACGCUCAGGUGCGAAAGCGUGGGGAGCAAACAGGAUUAGAUACCCCUGUAGUCCCUGUCUCUUAUACA